CCACCACAAGAUGAGAUUUCUUUAAAGGGUCGUGGAAGAUGACCACGUUGAUAGGCUAUAGGUGUAAAGGCAGUAAUGUCAUAGCCGAGUAGUACUAAUAACCCAUAGGCUUAUUGUACAGCC
RNAcentral lists this ribosomal RNA (123 nucleotides) under Xanthomarina maritima. RNAcentral describes it as "Formosa sp. 1494 partial 23S ribosomal RNA". It matches the Rfam family "Bacterial large subunit ribosomal RNA", at positions 2794 to 2925 of the family's 2925-position model. Lineage: Bacteria; Pseudomonadati; Bacteroidota; Flavobacteriia; Flavobacteriales; Flavobacteriaceae. The record is from RNAcentral.